Molecule: ribosomal RNA, 298 nt
Filed under: uncultured Rhizopus
Lineage: Eukaryota; Fungi; Mucoromycota; Mucoromycetes; Mucorales; Mucoraceae
Description: partial small subunit ribosomal RNA
Rfam family: Eukaryotic small subunit ribosomal RNA
Source: RNAcentral
UGUAGUCAUAUGCUUGUCUCAAAGAUUAAGCCAUGCAUGUCUAAGUAUAAAUAACUUUAUAUUGUGAAACUGCGAAUGGCUCAUUAAAUCAGUUAUGAUCUACGUGACAAAUUCUUUACUACUUGGAUAACCGUGGUAAUUCUAGAGCUAAUACAUGCAAAAAAGCCCUGACUUACGAAGGGGUGCACUUAUUAGAUAAAACCAACGCGGGGUAAAACCUGUUUCUUGGUGAAUCAUAAUAAUUAAGCGGAUCGCAUGGCCUUGUGCCGGCGACGGUCCCACUCGAUUUUCUGCCCUA